AAAUUUUCUAAAUGGACACUCUUUGCGGGAUGGAGGGAGUAUGUCUAUACCAUGGUUCAGAAUUAAAAAAUAUAUCUGUAGCUUAUAUGAGUUAUUAGAUAUUAAUUGCCAAAGCUACAAAGGUUUAACUUAAGGUAGUAGUAUAUAUCAUUCAUCUUAUUAAUUAUUACUAAUUGGAGGAUCAUUUUGAACCUUUCACAUGAAGCCACUUAGGAUCCUACGUGGACAGUCUAGAAAAAGAGAGAAUCCUAGAAAUUCUCUAAAAAAAUAAAAUAUCUAGCCAUCAAUUCGGUAAACUCAAUCAUCAUAACCAUUGGAUCUAUUUUUAUAUUUUCAAAAAUUCCCACCUACAUCAUUAUUUUUUUUGAAAAGGAACCUCCAUCAUUAUGAAAAUUUCCUAGAGUAACACCCUAAAUCUAUAUUAAAUUACCCACCUCUACAAUUACAUAAAAUAAACUAAAGCAACCCCUAAAUUAUGCACUUAUGCCAUUAUAUAAAAAAUUUAAAAUAAUUUAAA
RNAcentral lists this long non-coding RNA (517 nucleotides) under Setaria viridis. RNAcentral's name for it is "long non-coding RNA (SVIR_LNC004883)". Lineage: Eukaryota; Viridiplantae; Streptophyta; Magnoliopsida; Poales; Poaceae. The record is from RNAcentral.